RNAcentral lists this ribosomal RNA (253 nucleotides) under uncultured bacterium. RNAcentral's name for it is "partial 16S ribosomal RNA". It matches the Rfam family "Bacterial small subunit ribosomal RNA", at positions 524 to 776 of the family's 1533-position model. The record is from RNAcentral.
UACGUAGGGGGCAAGCGUUGUCCGGAUUUAUUGGGCGUAAAGAGCGUGUAGGCGGUUAGGUAGGUCCGUUGUGAAAACUCGAGGCUCAACCUCGAGACGCCGAUGGAAACCAUCUAACUAGAGUCCGGAAGAGGAGAGUGGAAUUCCUGGUGUAGCAGUGAAAUGCGUAGAUAUCAGGAGGAAUACCGAUGGCGAAGGCAGGUCUCUGGGCUGACACUGACGCUCAUGCACGAAAGCGUGGGGAGCAAACAGG